This 465-nucleotide ribosomal RNA is filed under the name uncultured bacterium. Its description in RNAcentral is "partial 16S ribosomal RNA". It matches the Rfam family "Bacterial small subunit ribosomal RNA", at positions 28 to 507 of the family's 1533-position model. The record is from RNAcentral.
GACGAACGCUGGCGGCGUACUUAACACAUGCAAGUCGUACGGUAAGGCCCUUUCGGGGGUACACGAGUGGCGAACGGGUGAGUAACACGUGAGUAACCUGCCCACAACUUCGGGAUAACGCUAGGAAACUGGUGCUAAUACUGGAUAUGUGCUCCUGCUGCAUGGUGGGGGUUGGAAAGCUCCGGCGGUUUUGGAUGGACUCGCGGCCUAUCAGCUUGUUGGUGGGGUAGUGGCCUACCAAGGCGGCGACGGGUAGCCGGCCUGAGAGGGUGACCGGCCACAUUGGGACUGAGAUACGGCCCAGACUCCUACGGGAGGCAGCAGUGGGGAAUAUUGCACAAUGGGCGCAAGCCUGAUGCAGCAACGCCGCGUGCGGGAUGACGGCCUUCGGGUUGUAAACCGCUUUCAGCAGGGACGAAGCUUGUUGUGACGGUACCUGCAGAAGAAGCACCGGCUAACUACGUG